This 316-nucleotide small nuclear RNA is filed under the name Neogale vison (American mink). Its description in RNAcentral is "Neovison vison (American mink) 7SK RNA (ENSNVIG00000001241.1)". It matches the Rfam family "7SK RNA". From Rfam's summary of the family: 7SK was discovered as an abundant small nuclear RNA in the mid-70s but a possible function has only recently been suggested. Two independent studies have found that 7SK RNA binds the CDK9/cyclin T complex (known as elongation factor P-TEFb). P-TEFb activates transcription by phosphorylating the C-terminal domain of RNA polymerase II. Lineage: Eukaryota; Metazoa; Chordata; Mammalia; Carnivora; Mustelidae. The record is from RNAcentral.
GGAUGUGGGUGUGAUCUGGCUGUGACACUGUCACCCCACUGGUCACCAAGGUUGAUUCGACUGAUCUGGCUAUCUGGACAGGUGUUCCCUUUCCUCCCUUACCACUCUAUGUGCAUGCUGGGUUGAAGAUGACGACCUUCCCUAAUAGAGAAGAACCAUUCUUCCGUCAAGGGUAUAGGAGUGGCUAUAUACGCCCCACCUUGUUAGAACCUCCAGACAAGCUCUCAAGGUCAAUUGGUAGGAGAAGGUAGGGUAGUCAGGCUUCCAAGACUCCAAACAUACCCAAAUGAGUAGCUGCAUGCAACAGUCUUCCUUU